CCAUACAUUCACUGUUAUGUCAGCUAAUCCUGAGAUCUCAUGUAUUGGGCAUCAAAACUUUACAAUUUGGUAGCAAGUUAGGUACAGGUCUUUCUCAAUGACCCUGUCAAAAUGGAACUUUUUAACCCUUUCGCCCCGACUGCCCGAUUUAUCGGGCAGCAUAAACCGUGUCCCAGUACCCAGCUGCCCGAAAAAUCGGGCGGCUAUUGUCCAAGCCCCACACACGGCUGCCCGAUAAAUCGGGCGGCGCGACCGUGUUUACAAAAUCGCUCUUUCAACUUCCUUUCUCGUGUGUAAUCUCGUUCUAAAUAUGGAAACGAGAUCUACACGUGAUUGACACGUCAUUCGAUGGAAUUUCCCAGUCUUUUUGGCGCGAAAAUCGCGAAUGUCACCUGUUUUCGCGACAGGUAUUUUUCUCGCUUGAAUCGUAAAUCUAGUGUAAUGGCGGCCAACUACGAUUCGGAUAGCGAUCAGAUGACUAACAACGACUCUAUCGGGAAUAAUAAUGUGUUUGAUUUGAAUAAUUUACGUGAAGGGGAGAGGGAAUUUCGUGAAGAUUUUGGUGAAGAUUUUGACGGUUUCGACGAGGUGUCCCCCCCCCCGCCAACUUUCAAGAAUGGGAGUGGCAGAGGGACCACAACGGUGGAGACAUGAGGGAUUUUGAAGAGGCGACCGGACUCAAGAAUAUAUAUUGACACGGUGAGUGAAAUAUCGUGCUAUUGAUUUUUUCCAACUGUUUUACAAUGAUUCUGUGUUUGAACAGAUUAUCAGUGCGACGAAUGAGAAUGCAGCCUACAGGUGAACGAGCGAUCACAACAACAACAAAGAUCAAUCUGUGAUAUCCUCUCUGUGAUGUCAUUCUUAUAGGAGCUGUGGUUCAAUGUUCAGAUGUGCAUGAAGAGAAUUUACCUGUAACACCUGGGAUUACCUGUGCCGUCCAAGAUGACAAGACCACUGUGU
Molecule: long non-coding RNA, 960 nt
Filed under: Haliotis rufescens (red abalone)
Lineage: Eukaryota; Metazoa; Mollusca; Gastropoda; Lepetellida; Haliotidae
Description: uncharacterized LOC125375985
Source: RNAcentral